CAGCCGCCGCGGGAAUACGAAGGGGGCUAGCGUUGCUCGGAAUGACUGGGCGUAAAGGGCGCGUAGGCGGCUGACACAGUCAGAUGUGAAAUUCCUGGGCUCAACCUGGGGACUGCAUUUGAGACGUGUUGGCUUGAGUGGAGAAGAGGGUCGUGGAAUUUCCAGUGUAGAGGUGAAAUUCGUAGAUAUUGGGAAGAACACCAGUGGCGAAGGCGGCUCACUGGACCGACACUGACGCUGAGGCGCGAAAGCGUGGGGAGCAAACAGGAUUAGAUACCCCUGUAGUCCCUGUCUCUUAUAC
Molecule: ribosomal RNA, 301 nt
Filed under: uncultured bacterium
Lineage: Bacteria
Description: partial 16S ribosomal RNA
Rfam family: Bacterial small subunit ribosomal RNA
Source: RNAcentral